This 46-nucleotide non-coding RNA is filed under the name Schistosoma mansoni. The record is from RNAcentral. Lineage: Eukaryota; Metazoa; Platyhelminthes; Trematoda; Strigeidida; Schistosomatidae.
GCGCUGCUGAUGAGUCCCAUAAUAGGACGAAACGGCCGUCCAGUGC